CACCCGUUCCCAUCCCGAACACGGAAGUUAAGCUCUCCAGUGCCGAUGGUACUGCACGGGCGACUGUGUGGGAGAGUAGGGCGCUGCCGGAC
This 92-nucleotide ribosomal RNA is filed under the name Deltaproteobacteria bacterium. Lineage: Bacteria; Pseudomonadati; Myxococcota; Myxococcia. The record is from RNAcentral.